RNAcentral lists this long non-coding RNA (1196 nucleotides) under Chinchilla lanigera (long-tailed chinchilla). Its description in RNAcentral is "lncRNA (ENSCLAG00000027205.1)". The record is from RNAcentral. Lineage: Eukaryota; Metazoa; Chordata; Mammalia; Rodentia; Chinchillidae.
GCCAAAGAAUGAUUUUCUGUCGAGGGAAGUAGAUUUCCAAGGAACAGAACUGAAAGCUCCUAGCACUAGGAAGACAAAGUACUUCAAGGGUCCUUGAUGCCAGCCUGUCCUUUGAUUCCGGGUGCCACUGGUUUCUCAAGCUGCUGAUGUCCACGCGGGGAGAAGGGUUAUCUGCUGACUCCCCAGCACCUACUACAGAAUCUUCUGAACACAGCCUCCAGAAAUACAAGGAUGAUGAUGAUGAUAAUAACAACAAUAACAGUAAUAAUGCUGUUUGAUUUUCCAGUGAAGAAAUACGUGACAGCAGAGGAAGAAAGCCAGAAAAAUACAUUGGAAUCACUGUGUACAGAUGUUCUGCUGUCUUUCCUGUGCUGCUGGCUCAAGGCUGCAACCCUGCAGCCUGGCAUCAUGCAGAAGCCACACAGUUGAGGAGCUGAUGUCCUUGAAGAGCUGUAUGGAAGAAAAUCCACCAGCCCAGCAGACUCACCCAAGCAAGAAGUAAACUCCACUAUGUGUAUGGGCCCAGCAACCCUGGAACUGCAUCUACCUUGGCAGAUAAAGUUGAAUUCAUAAUUUUGUAGUCAUCAGGCUUCAAAAUUACAGCCAUUUUUGACCUAAGAUUUGCAAAAAAGCUCUUCUGGGUAAUAUUCAUCACAUUGUUUCUUUUCUUUAUAUUCCUACUGUUACCCUCAAAUUUAGGACUUUACUUCUCAUGUUUGAAGAACUAAAGGACACGACUGUCCAAGUCCUUUCUUCCUAUUCCACUUGUCUAAUCCACCCCAUCUGCACUGGAUGAGCACAUUAAAAAUUUCAUUCUAUCCUUUCCUGUUGAGAAUCAAAAUCCUCAAAGGCUUCCUAAUGUUAAAGGGAUACAACUUGAAAAUUCUCGGCAGAAAAUACACUUCCUGGAGUCAACCCACCAUUGCGAGCACUUGCCAUCGUUUCCCAGCAGAAUCCCCCGACAGGGCCACUAUUUUGCACACGUGAUUUUUUUCUCAUAAGUGCCUACUGGUUCACACAUGUCAGUCCAGCCAGAAUAUUACUUUCCCCUUCUUACUUCUGAAAAUCCUACCUUUCCCUCAUCAAAGCAGAGUGAGCCGUCUGCUCCAGACUCCCUUGCAGUUGGCUCUGGUCUGCAUAAUCUCAAGCUGUCUUCUCCAAGAACACGUUAAGCCCAUCUUCCUGGAGAGCUAUCU